GUGGGGAAUUUUGGACAAUGGGCGCAAGCCUGAUCCAGCAAUGCCGCGUGCAGGAAGAAGGCCUUCGGGUUGUAAACUGCUUUUGUACGGAACGAAACGGUCCUGGUUAAUACCUGGGGCUAAUGACGGUACCGUAAGAAUAAGCACCGGCUAACUACGUGCCAGCAGCCGCGGUAAUACGUAGGGUGCGAGCGUUAAUCGGAAUUACUGGGCGUAAAGCGUGCGCAGGCGGUGCUGUAAGACAGGCGUGAAAUCCCCGGGCUCAACCUGGGAAUUGCGCUUGGGACUGCAGUGCUGGAGUACGGCAGAGGGGGAUGGAAUUCCGCGUGUAGCAGUGAAAUGCGUAGAUAUGCGGAGGAACACCGAUGGCGAAGGCAGUCCCCUGGGCCUGUACUGACGCUCAUGCACGAAAGCGUGGGGAGCAAACAGGAUUAGAUACCCGAGUAGUCC
This 450-nucleotide ribosomal RNA is filed under the name uncultured bacterium. RNAcentral describes it as "partial 16S ribosomal RNA". It matches the Rfam family "Bacterial small subunit ribosomal RNA", at positions 354 to 796 of the family's 1533-position model. The record is from RNAcentral.